RNAcentral lists this ribosomal RNA (492 nucleotides) under uncultured bacterium. RNAcentral describes it as "partial 16S ribosomal RNA". It matches the Rfam family "Bacterial small subunit ribosomal RNA", at positions 29 to 507 of the family's 1533-position model. The record is from RNAcentral.
AGUGAACGCUGGCGGUAGGCCUAACACAUGCAAGUCGAACGGCAGCACAGUAAGAGCUUGCUCUUACGGGUGGCGAGUGGCGGACGGGUGAGGAAUACAUAGGAAUCUACUUUUUCGUGGGGGAUAACGUAGGGAAACUUACGCUAAUACCGAAUACGACCUACGGGUGAAAGCAGGGGAUCUUCGGACCUUGCGCGAUUGAAUGAGCCGAUGUCGGAUUAGCUAGUUGGCGGGGUAAAGGCCCACCAAGGCGACGAUCCGUAGCUGGUCUGAGAGGAUGAUCAGCCACACUGGAACUGAGACACGGUCCAGACUCCUACGGGAGGCAGCAGUGGGGAAUAUUGGACAAUGGGCGCAAGCCUGAUCCAGCCAUACCGCGUGAGUGAAGAAGGCCUUCGGGUUGUAAAGCCCUUUUGUUGGGAAAGAAAAGCAGCAGGUUAAUACCCCGCUGUUCUGACGGUACCCAAAGAAUAAGCACCGGCUAACUUCGUG